UACGUAGGUGGCGAGCGUUGUCCGGAUUUACUGGGCGUAAAGAGCGCGCAGGCGGUCGUUCAAGUCGCGUGUGAAAGCCCCCGGCUCAACUGGGGAGGGUCACGCGAUACUGAUCGACUCGAAGGCAGGAGAGGGUAGUGGAAUUCCCGGUGUAGUGGUGAAAUGCGUAGAUAUCAGGAGGAACACCGGCGGCGAAGGCGGCUUCCUGGACCGAUACUGACGCUGAGACGCGAAAGCGUGGGGAGCAAACAGG
RNAcentral lists this ribosomal RNA (253 nucleotides) under uncultured bacterium. RNAcentral describes it as "partial 16S ribosomal RNA". It matches the Rfam family "Bacterial small subunit ribosomal RNA", at positions 524 to 776 of the family's 1533-position model. The record is from RNAcentral.